GACGAACGCUGGCGGCGUGCCUAAUACAUGCAAGUAGAACGCUGAAGAGAGGAGCUUGCUCUUCUUGGAUGAGUUGCGAACGGGUGAGUAACGCGUAGGUAACCUGCCUUGUAGCGGGGGAUAACUAUUGGAAACGAUAGCUAAUACCGCAUAACAAUGGAUGACACAUGUCAUUUAUUUGAAAGGGGCAAUUGCUCCACUACAAGAUGGACCUGCGUUGUAUUAGCUAGUAGGUGAGGUAACGGCUCACCUAGGCGACGAUACAUAGCCGACCUGAGAGGGUGAUCGGCCACACUGGGACUGAGACACGGCCCAGACUCCUACGGGAGGCAGCAGUAGGGAAUCUUCGGCAAUGGGGGCAACCCUGACCGAGCAACGCCGCGUGAGUGAAGAAGGUUUUCGGAUCGUAAAGCUCUGUUGUAAGUCAAGAACGAGUGUGAGAGUGGAAAAUUCACACUGUGACGGUAGCUUACCAGAAAGGGACGGCUAACUACGUGCCAGCAGCCGCGGUAAUACGUAGGUCCCGAGCGUUGUCCGGAUUUAUUGGGCGUAAAGCGAGCGCAGGCGGUUUGAUAAGUCUGAAGUUAAAGGCUGUGGCUCAACCAUAGUUCGCAUUGGAAACUGUCAAACUUGAGUGCAGAAGGGGAGAGUGGAAUUCCAUGUGUAGCGGUGAAAUGCGUAGAUAUAUGGAGGAACACCGGUGGCGAAAGCGGCUCUCUGGUCUGUAACUGACGCUGAGGCUCGAAAGCGUGGGGAGCGAACAGGAUUAGAUACCCUGGUAGUCCACGCCGUAAACGAUGAGUGCUAGGUGUUGGAUCCUUUCCGGGAUUCAGUGCCGCAGCUAACGCAUUAAGCACUCCGCCUGGGGAGUACGACCGCAAGGUUGAAACUCAAAGGAAUUGACGGGGGCCCGCACAAGCGGUGGAGCAUGUGGUUUAAUUCGAAGCAACGCGAAGAACCUUACCAGGUCUUGACAUCCCGAUGCUAUUUCUAGAGAUAGAAAGUUACUUCGGUACAUCGGUGACAGGUGGUGCAUGGUUGUCGUCAGCUCGUGUCGUGAGAUGUUGGGUUAAGUCCCGCAACGAGCGCAACCCCUAUUGUUAGUUGCCAUCAUUCAGUUGGGCACUCUAGCGAGACUGCCGGUAAUAAACCGGAGGAAGGUGGGGAUGACGUCAAAUCAUCAUGCCCCUUAUGACCUGGGCUACACACGUGCUACAAUGGUUGGUACAACGAGUUGCGAGUCGGUGACGGCAAGCUAAUCUCUUAAAGCCAAUCUCGGUUCGGAUUGUAGGCUGCAACUCGCCUACAUGAAGUCGGAAUCGCUAGUAAUCGCGGAUCAGCACGCCGCGGUGAAUACGUUCCCGGGCCU
This 1369-nucleotide ribosomal RNA is filed under the name uncultured bacterium. Its description in RNAcentral is "bacterial SSU rRNA". It matches the Rfam family "Bacterial small subunit ribosomal RNA", at positions 28 to 1381 of the family's 1533-position model. The record is from RNAcentral.